AGAAUUGCAUAAACGAAACCUCAUAUAAGACGGGAAUAGGGCCCGUUCGUCUCUACCUGGGAACCGUAAAUUCCCGGACUAUGAGGGGAGAUUCAAGCAUC
This 101-nucleotide non-coding RNA is filed under the name Halobacillus mangrovi. RNAcentral's name for it is "Guanine sequence". It matches the Rfam family "Purine riboswitch aptamer". From Rfam's summary of the family: Riboswitches are metabolite binding domains within certain messenger RNAs that serve as precision sensors for their corresponding targets. Allosteric rearrangement of mRNA structure is mediated by ligand binding, and this results in modulation of gene expression. A class of riboswitches that selectively recognises guanine and becomes saturated at concentrations as low as 5 nM. Lineage: Bacteria; Bacillati; Bacillota; Bacilli; Caryophanales; Bacillaceae. The record is from RNAcentral.